GCAGAUCAUAUUUCCAAAAAAGCUUUAAAGUUUUUUUCAAAACCCUUAUAGCCUCUCCUCCCUUUUCAGUCAAUUGGGCUUUGCCGGCGCCUAAUAUGCCUCCAUCUCCGUCGAGGCUUUAACCUGAUCCCCAGGGAUCUGUCUGCCUUUGGAUCGGAGGAGCAAAUGUCGACUAGGUCGACACCAAAUCAACAGGUGAGAGAGCUUUCUUCUCUCUCUCUUUUUUUUUAUAUUAGUAUAAUAGAUCAAAAAAAGAGAGUAAGAAAUGAAGGAGAAAAAUAAGAGAGAAAAAAAAGUGAAUGAACCACUUUCCAGUAUUUGCUUUUUCUAUUUGAUUGCUUUGUAUGCGUAAAAAAAUACAUUGAUUAUUACAUGGUUUUUAUAGCCGAAAACAGAAAAAUAUUGAAAAGAAAAUACAAAUUCGUUUUCUUUUUUCUCUUUGCUGUGUUGUUUUUGCAUUUGCUUGCAGGUGCUUGGCCAGCUGUGGUGUACGGAAGAGGUGAUAUGGCGUGCGAUGACAGGGAGGGUACAGGGCCAGGCUAUGGGCACACGAAGGCCGUACGGAGGUGGCGCUAGGGGCUGCAGCGCGCCUAAAGAAACCUUAGGGUUUCUUAGUUUUUAACUUUCGGGCCAGUUGGGCCAUGUAUUUGUUGGGCUAGGUUUUAGAUUUUGGGUUUAGUUGGGUAUUAUGUAGUUGGCCUCGGGUUAUGAUUUUGGGCUUUGUAAAUUGAACAGUGGACAUUUUAUUUUUGUUUAUCUUAUGGUUUUGGGCUCGGGCUAAGUGGCCCC
RNAcentral lists this long non-coding RNA (789 nucleotides) under Gossypium barbadense (sea-island cotton). RNAcentral's name for it is "long non-coding RNA (GBAR_LNC011589)". The record is from RNAcentral. Lineage: Eukaryota; Viridiplantae; Streptophyta; Magnoliopsida; Malvales; Malvaceae.